Molecule: non-coding RNA, 1392 nt
Organism: Triticum urartu
Lineage: Eukaryota; Viridiplantae; Streptophyta; Magnoliopsida; Poales; Poaceae
Source: RefSeq, a predicted model, not a curated record
CAUAAUAGCCUUGUUCAAAUAAAAUCACAAGACCUUUGUAAGCUUGCUUAGUUACUAUGGAGAAGGGCCUUCUUCCAAGGAGCUGUAGAUUUUGAAUGUGCUCCUGGUUGGACACUUUUUCCACUAUAUGUACAGAAUAGGGGUAGGGAAGAGCGCAACUUAGGUUUUGGGGCAGGCCUCACUAGCAAUUAUGGCAUCCUCUUAUUUGGUUGCAGGUUACUUGCCUUCUUCUUUCAGCCCAUCUCAAGAAUUAUAGUGCAGUUUUUGUGGAGAGCCCAUGUUGGUUUGCUUGAUUUAUGUUCAAAAUGGACAAUACAAUGCUAUUUGAGUCAAGUUUGUAUAUAUUCCAAGUACUCCUUUAUUAUUUAUCAACUGAGGCAUGAUUGUUGUUGCACUUAUUACUAAAAAUAAUCCUGGUGUUAUUUUCUUUGAGAAAAGAAAUAGACGGCUCAGAUGUGUGCUUCUUAGCAUCACAUCAAAUUGAAUAAUCGAAUAGGGUUAUAUAUCAUCAUAUCUGCAUACAUAGUAUCUUCUGUAAUUAUAUACCGGUGUAGGCUCUUGUUGUUAGAUGAUGAACUUAUGUUAUUUUAUGCCAAGUAGUUAAAUUUAUGUGCACCUUCUCAUGUGUUUACUUGUUUAUGCUUUUAUAGUAUGGCUUGGUCCUGUUGUGAAAAAGAUCCUGAUAUGUUUGACUAUUCUGUUUUUUUUCUUUAUCCAAUGACCUAUUAAUGUGCUUUGAGCAUAUGACAAUUGUUUCCUCACUAUCUUAGAUUAGUAGUAAUCCUUCUUUUAUGUUUCUGCAAUUUCAGUUCCUGCCUUUUGAAAUUUCCUUUGCAUUAUGUAUCUGCACACCCCCUCUUGUGGUCUAUUGUAAUGGUCUACUGAACAGCCAUAUCAUGCUAUGAUUGCAUCGUUGCAUGACAAUGUACCAUAUGCUCAUGCAUUUCUUUUCUUACCGAUGUUGUCCUGAUGAGUUGGCUGGCUUACAUGUGCGCCCUCCGUCCUAAAAUAAGUGUCUCAACUCUGUUACAAAGUUGUACUAGAGUUGAGACACUUAUUUUGGGGCGAAGGGAGUAGUCUGCUGUGAAGGUCUACUUGUGUUAGGUAGCAUUGCUUUCUGGAAUACGUCAUUCGAACCUGGUAACAUUCACUGGUUACAGUCAGCAAGACAGGAAGAACAUACUUGUGUAUGAGUUCAUGCACAACGAAAGGACCAACUUAGCUGAUGGUGUUAUUAAUAUGGUGAGUGAUUGAAGGGGAGGCAUGAGAAGAGAGCAGUCCAAAGGGCGGAUGGAGCAUGUAACUUGUUGAUGUUAGUUUCCAUUUCCGGAAAGAACAAAUUUUCUAUGAUUUGAGUGUAUGCUGAUGUGUCAAAGUCAAUCAUUUGGAUUC